RNAcentral lists this transfer RNA (61 nucleotides) under Onchidella borealis. RNAcentral describes it as "tRNA-Ser". The record is from RNAcentral. Lineage: Eukaryota; Metazoa; Mollusca; Gastropoda; Systellommatophora; Onchidiidae.
GUUUUUGACAAAUAAAAGAUUUUGAAAGUCUUUUCAGAGGAAAAUCGCCUCACUAAGUGAG